AGUGGUGCUACGACGAAAAAACAACGAUUUCAACGCACAUUUUUACCAAACAGCGAUAAAAAUCGUCUAACUUUCGUAAUAUCACCUACAAUGCAGCCUUUUUCUUGUUGACAAACGUAAACAAACAAAAAACACUUUUGUUUGUAUUUAUAGAAUUUUAUUUAUAAAAUUUUAUUAAAUAAUUUUAAUUUAGAACACAGUAUAUGUUCGAAAAGGUAAAGGAACGUGUUAUUGCCGAAAAGAGGUUUGUUAGCAGAUAACACUUACUAUGGUCCCCAAUGAUCUUGCAUCCAGUUGAGUCUGCAACUUAAUCCGCAACCAUCGAUCACAACAACUAUAGUACCUUGGAAUAAAAUGGAGGACAUAACAUGGAUUACAAUGUACUCAACAACGUUUGCAACAAGUACCUGGAAAAAAAUCAGUGCAACCCAUCUAUAAUAUUGAAUCCCAAAAUAUCAAAUUGGAAAUACAGGAUCUUUAGCAAAUCCAAAUGUUGGCAUAUUUUUUAUAAUAUUGAUCUUUGAAAAUGAGAAUGCGACCAUUUAAUGUGAAAUCGGAAAUACAGGAUCCUUAUUAAAAGCGAAUAUGCAUAUGUACAGUUAAUCUCAAAAAUAA
Molecule: long non-coding RNA, 615 nt
Organism: Lucilia sericata (common green bottle fly)
Lineage: Eukaryota; Metazoa; Arthropoda; Insecta; Diptera; Calliphoridae
Exons: 2
Source: RefSeq, a predicted model, not a curated record